UAGCUCAGUUGGUAAAGAAUCUGUCUGCAAUACAGGAGACCCGGGUUCAAUUCCUGG
RNAcentral lists this transfer RNA (57 nucleotides) under Bos taurus (domestic cattle). It matches the Rfam family "tRNA", at positions 8 to 63 of the family's 71-position model. Rfam says of the family: Transfer RNA (tRNA) molecules are approximately 80 nucleotides in length. Their secondary structure includes four short double-helical elements and three loops (D, anti-codon, and T loops). Lineage: Eukaryota; Metazoa; Chordata; Mammalia; Artiodactyla; Bovidae. The record is from Rfam by way of RNAcentral. RNAcentral also lists the same sequence under 5 other names.